Molecule: non-coding RNA, 71 nt
Organism: Tribolium castaneum (red flour beetle)
Lineage: Eukaryota; Metazoa; Arthropoda; Insecta; Coleoptera; Tenebrionidae
Source: RefSeq, marked provisional
UGAAAUCGUGCAUGUUUCUGUAAUGUUGGUUGCAUAGCAAAACCAUUUCAGGGCAUGACACGGGUUCGAGU